AGAGGGUGCAAGCGUUAAUCGGAGUGACUGGGCGUAAAGGGCGUGUAGGUGGAUGAUUAAGUUAACUGUGAAAGCCCCAGGGCUUAACCUGGGAAUGUUGGUUAAUACUGGUCAUCUCGAGUCUUGGAGAGGAAAGUAGAAUUUCCGGUGUAGCGGUGAAAUGCGUAGAGAUCGGAAAGAAUACCGGUGGCGAAGGCGACUUUCUGGCCAAAGACUGACACUGAGGCGCGAAGGCGUGGGGAGCAAACAGGAUUAGAUACCCUGGUAGUCCACGCAGUAAACGAUGAGAACUAGAUGUUGGUGGCCUUGUUGCCACGAGUAUCGCAGCUAACGCAUUAAGUUCUCCGCCUGGGGAGUACGAUCGCAAGAUUA
Molecule: ribosomal RNA, 372 nt
Filed under: uncultured organism
Description: partial 16S ribosomal RNA
Rfam family: Bacterial small subunit ribosomal RNA
Source: RNAcentral